RNAcentral lists this ribosomal RNA (449 nucleotides) under uncultured bacterium. RNAcentral describes it as "partial 16S ribosomal RNA". It matches the Rfam family "Bacterial small subunit ribosomal RNA", at positions 29 to 523 of the family's 1533-position model. The record is from RNAcentral.
AACGAACGCUGGCGGCAGGCUUAACACAUGCAAGUCGAACGCAUCCUUCGGGGUGAGUGGCAGACGGGUGAGUAACGCGUGGGAACGUGCCCUUCAGUUCGGGAUAACCCAGGGAAACUUGGGCUAAUACCGGAUACGUGCGAGAGCAGAAAGAUUUAUCGCUGAAGGAUCGGCCCGCGUCUGAUUAGCUAGUUGGUGGGGUAAUGGCUCACCAAGGCGACGAUCAGUAACUGGUCUGAGAGGAUGAUCAGGCACAUUGGGACUGAGACACGGCCCAAACUCCUACGGGAGGCAGCAGUGGGGAAGAUGGGACAAUGGGCGAAAGCCUGAUCCAGCCAUGCCGCGUGAGUGAUAAAGGCCUUAGGGUUGUAAAGCUCUUUCGUCCGGGACGAUAAUGACGGUACCGGAAGAAGAAGCCCCGGCUAACUUCGUGCCAGCCGCCGCAGUAA